UCGCAAUGCCCGAAAGGGUGACGAAGCGACGCCGCGUGUGGGAAGAAGGCCUUCGGGUUGUAAACCACUGUCGGGAGUUAAGAAAUGCAAGGAUAUGAAUAGUGUCUUUGCUUGACUAAGGCUCCGGAGGAAGCCACGGCUAACUCUGUGCCAGCAGCCGCGGUAAUACAGAGGCGGCAAGCGUUGUUCGGAAUUAUUGGGCGUAAAGAGCACGUAGGCGGUUAUGUAAGUCGGUUGUGAAAGCCUUCCGCUCAACGGGAGAACAGCAUCCGAUACUACAUGGCUUGAGUGCGGGAGGGGAGAGUGGAACUUCUGGUGGAGCGGUGAAAUGCGUAGAUAUCAGAAGGAACGCCGGCGGCGAAAGCGGCUCUCUGGCCCAUAACUGACGCUGAGUGUGCGAAAGCUAGGGGAGCAAACGGGAUUAGAUACCCCGGUAGUCCUAGCCGUAAACGAUGGGCACUAAGUAGAGGGGUUUU
This 476-nucleotide ribosomal RNA is filed under the name uncultured Planctomycetales bacterium. Its description in RNAcentral is "bacterial SSU rRNA". It matches the Rfam family "Bacterial small subunit ribosomal RNA", at positions 366 to 832 of the family's 1533-position model. The record is from RNAcentral. Lineage: Bacteria; Pseudomonadati; Planctomycetota; Planctomycetia; Planctomycetales.